RNAcentral lists this unclassified non-coding RNA (1438 nucleotides) under Hevea brasiliensis (rubber tree). The record is from RNAcentral. Lineage: Eukaryota; Viridiplantae; Streptophyta; Magnoliopsida; Malpighiales; Euphorbiaceae.
CUUCAACACUGCUAUUUACAUUUCUUACAAAGAGCGUUCUAGAUGGAUUUUCCUCGAAAGGUUUCUGGCUACCAAUUGCAGCAUUAGAGUCUCCCAAAGGCAGAGUAUAAUUCCCAGCAUAUUCAGAAUUUUGUUGUCCUGUAGAGGAACCAUCUUCUCCUAGGUCCAUACCUCCAACACUACUGAAAAGAUCAAGAUCCUCAGUUUCAUCACCAGCAUAGGGUUGGCCAACAUAGUCUAGCCCAUCAGUAACCCCAGCAAGCAAGUCAUCAUCAUCAGGGAGAAGAUUUCCAAUAGCGUGGGCCUCAAGUUCUUUAAGGGACUCAAAACGUUCUUCUUCAUAGUGUGAGUCAGCUGCUCCAACAGAAUGGCCAUGUGGGGAAUAGUUGGUCGGUAAUCGCAAUUUUCUACUGAAUAACUCUGAUAAUGAGCUCGAGAAGAGACCAUUCUCACAUUGACCGCCCAAUACGCUAAUUUUGUCAUCUUCUGUUGGAUAAGAUGCCAAGUCAGUGCUGACAAUAGAUCUUACACCCACGUUAUAGUCAAGACCUCUAGGUAAGGAGUGAGAUGCUCUUUCUAUUCCAACAGCUCGUCUUUCUAUGAUACUGUUAACAUUUUUGUCUUGUUUUAGAUGAGAAUCAUGAUGUUCAAAAUGCUUCGUCGUCGGGGAGCCCAACGAAAUAUGAUUCUCAAAGGGUGAUGAACGAACAGCAGCUCUUUGUAAAGCAUCAUCACUUUUAAGACCAUGAUAGUUCUGCAGGCUAUUUGCCUUCCAAAAUCCAACUUGUCUCUCAUCACGAAAACAUAAUUCCUCGGAGAAGUAAGAUGAUGGGGAUAAACCCUGUAGCUCUCUCAUUUGAGAUGGUGUGAUGCAAGUUGGAUACAGAAGGAAUUAUAUAAUCGAAGUUAGAAUCCCUUCUUUCAAUCAGACGACGAAAUACAUCAACCUUGUAAGAAGCUUGAAGAAGAUCCUGUUUCGAAGUAUUUCUGUAGACAAGAGAAUGAUGAGAGAGAUAAAAAAUUGGAAGGGAUGAGAGGUAGCUAUAAAGAUUAGGAAGAGAGAACAGAGAGUUUAGGAAUAAAUUACGGCACAAGGCAAGGCAAGGUAAGGAAGGGAAAUUGAAGAAGAGAUCUAGGUAUCCGUGCCGUGCAGAAACCUCCAAAGCUUCGAUGCCUUUCUCUCUCUAUCUCUAUCCUCUUCUUCUUCUCUCUCCUGUUGUGUAUGUGUUUUUCCUACAUUGCACGUUAAAACCACCUGUAAUAUCUCUCUCUCCUCUUGCUAAAUUGUUUAUAAUUUUCUCCACAGCUAAACAUUCAUAAUCUCCGAUCGGAAAUUGGUGAAGUUUUCCGGCGGAGAUCCCAACGCCGGUUUCUGUUGGAGAAAUGGAGAGAGAGAGGAGAGAGAAAUAGUUUGUAGGAAAAACAAUAAAGUGGAUGG